CCUACGGGAGGCAGCAGCGAGGAAUAUUGGUCAAUGGGAGGAAUCCUGAACCAGCCAUGCCGCGUGGGGGAAGAAGGCCCUAUGGGUUGUAAACCCCUUUUACGCCGGAGUAAUAAGGUCCAUGCGUGGACCGAUGAGAGUACGGCGGGAAUAAGCAUCGGCUAACUCCGUGCCAGCAGCCGCGGUAAU
RNAcentral lists this ribosomal RNA (189 nucleotides) under uncultured bacterium. RNAcentral describes it as "partial 16S ribosomal RNA". It matches the Rfam family "Bacterial small subunit ribosomal RNA", at positions 338 to 524 of the family's 1533-position model. The record is from RNAcentral.